UAACCUGCCCAAGAGACUGGGAUAACACCUGGAAACAGAUGCUAAUACCGGAUAACAACACUAGACGCAUGUCUAGAGUUUAAAAGAUGGUUCUGCUAUCACUCUUGGAUGGACCUGCGGUGCAUUAGCUAGUUGGUAAGGCAACGGCUUACCAAGGCAAUGAUGCAUAGCCGAGUUGAGAGACUGAUCGGCCACAUUGGGACUGAGACACGGUCCAAACUCCUACGGGAGGCAGCAGAC
RNAcentral lists this ribosomal RNA (240 nucleotides) under uncultured bacterium. Its description in RNAcentral is "partial 16S ribosomal RNA". It matches the Rfam family "Bacterial small subunit ribosomal RNA", at positions 122 to 354 of the family's 1533-position model. The record is from RNAcentral.